Molecule: long non-coding RNA, 872 nt
Filed under: Ananas comosus (pineapple)
Lineage: Eukaryota; Viridiplantae; Streptophyta; Magnoliopsida; Poales; Bromeliaceae
Description: long non-coding RNA (ACOM_LNC011829)
Source: RNAcentral
UUUUAUUUAUUAAAGAAGUAUCUAGUAUUUUGAUAAAUGAAGAUUAUGUAAAAUAAUACAAAAUAAUCGUUAGUCUCUAAAAACUUAAGUAGCUCUGAUACCAAUAUAAAAUAAUACGGUUAGUCUCUAAGGCCCCAUUUGGUUCAGGGAUAACGAACAUUGGGAUAAAUUUUUUUAUUCCUGAAAUAGCUUGUUAUUUUGGAAUAGUAAAAAAUAAAAGUAAAAUUAUGUUUGGUUUGUAAUGCUGGUAUUUCUAGAAAUAAUCAAAUUGUGCUAGGUUAAUCUUACGGAAUAGUAGAAAAUACUGAAAAAAAAUGAUCGUUUGAAUUUGAUAUAAAAUAUAAUUCAAUAGAAAUAAUUUCUUAUAAAAAUAAUUAUUAUAAAAAUAAAUAUUGUAAAAAUAAUUCGUUAUAAUAUUUAAUAAAAAUAAUUUAUUAUAAUAUUUAGAUAUAAAUAAUAUGUAUUAAUAUAGUAUAAUUAAUUUUAUCAUAAAAUAAUUUAUUAUAAUAUAUAAUAUAUAACACAUUAUAUCUAUAUAAUUUAGUUUUAAUUAAGUUUAUAAUUUUAAUAAAGUUUGAAAUUAAAUUUUGGAAUAGCAUUAUUUCGCCAAAAUGGUGGAAUAAUAAAUUCCAAGCUAUUCCGGGACAGCCGAAAAUAGUAAGAUUUGACCUGGAUAAAAUAUUCCUGGCAAAAAGCAUCCCGUUUAGCAAAUAGCAGGAUAACUUUCGUUAUUCCCGUUUUAUUCCUGAAUCAAACGGGGCCUAAAACUUAAGCUUGUAAAGAAAAAUAAUUUUAUAUUUUUGUAUUUAACAGAUUACACCAAAUAUCCAAAAAAUACAAUAUAUUUAGCAUUCAAGUUAUUUUCUUAAAUA